UUUAUGAUCUAAAUCCAAAUCAAAAUUUAAACAUGAGUCAUUAAAAACUCUCAAUUUUGUAUCAAUGUACUAACUUGAUACACUUUAAACCACAUGUUACUACAGUGAGAAAGUUCGAAAUCACAGGACCUAAUUUGAUACACUUUAAACUACAUGGUACUAAAGUGAGAAAGUGUGAAACCACAAGGAGGGUAUUUGAAGUUUACCCAAAUACAGAGGAGAAUUGACAGGAGGCAAGCAAAGUUACUAUCAUGA
This 255-nucleotide long non-coding RNA is filed under the name Ananas comosus (pineapple). Its description in RNAcentral is "long non-coding RNA (ACOM_LNC017755)". Lineage: Eukaryota; Viridiplantae; Streptophyta; Magnoliopsida; Poales; Bromeliaceae. The record is from RNAcentral.